GCCCUGGAGGCGGUGGCGCUGGCCGGCGCUGCGCUGGCUCUGCUCGGUGUGCUGCUGGAGCUGUUCCGGACAUCGCUGGUGUAUCUGGGACUGCUGUUGGCAUAUGGUCUGCUGACCCAGGUCGGCCAGGUCUUCUUCCUCUUCCAGGGGGACACCCUGCUGCUGGAGGCCGGCCUGCUGGCCGCGC
Long non-coding RNA from Pollicipes pollicipes, 187 nucleotides. RefSeq lists it as uncharacterized. The transcript is spliced from 3 exons. The record is from RefSeq and is a predicted model, not a curated record. Lineage: Eukaryota; Metazoa; Arthropoda; Thecostraca; Pollicipedomorpha; Pollicipedidae.